Molecule: ribosomal RNA, 460 nt
Filed under: uncultured bacterium
Lineage: Bacteria
Description: partial 16S ribosomal RNA
Rfam family: Bacterial small subunit ribosomal RNA
Source: RNAcentral
CCUACGGGAGGCAGCAGUGAGGAAUAUUGGUCAAUGGGCGUAAGCCUGAACCAGCCAAGUCGCGUGAGGGAUGACGGUUCUAUGGAUCGUAAACCUCUUUUGUAAGGGAGUAAACUGUGCUACGUGUCCUGUUCUGUAUGUACCUUAUGAAUAAGGAUCGGCUAACUCCGUGCCAGCAGCCGCGGUAAUACGGAGGAUCCAAGCGUUAUCCGGAUUUAUUGGGUUUAAAGGGUGCGUAGGCGGAUUGUUAAGUUAGCGGUGAAAGUUUGUGGCUCAACCAGAGAAUUGCCGUUGAAACUGGGAGGCUUGAGUAUGUUUGAGGUAGGCGGAAUGCGUGGUGUAGCGGUGAAAUGCUUAGAGAUCACGCAGAACCCCGAUUGCGAAGGCAGCCUGCCAAUCCAUGACUGACGCUGAUGCACGAAAGCGUGGGGAUCAAACAGGAUUAGAUACCCGAGUAGUC